Molecule: ribosomal RNA, 507 nt
Filed under: uncultured bacterium
Lineage: Bacteria
Description: bacterial SSU rRNA
Rfam family: Bacterial small subunit ribosomal RNA
Source: RNAcentral
GAUGAACGCUAGCUACAGGCUUAACACAUGCAAGUCGAGGGGAAACGACAUCGAAAGCUUGCUUUUGAUGGGCGUCGACCGGCGCACGGGUGAGUAACGCGUAUCCAACCUGCCCACCACUUGGGGAUAACCUUGCGAAAGUAAGACUAAUACCCCAAUGAUAUCCCACGAAGGCAUCCGAAUGGGAUUAAAGAUUUAUCGGUGAUGGAUGGGGAUGCGUCUGAUUAGCUUGUUGGCGGGGUAACGGCCCACCAAGGCAACGAUCAGUAGGGGGUUCUGAGAGGAAGGUCCCCCCACAUUGGAACUGAGACACGGGUCCAAACUCCUACGGGAGGCAGCAGUGAGGAAUAUUGGUCAAUGGGCGAGAGCCUGAACCAGCCAAGUAGCGUGCAGGAUGACGGGCCCCUAUGGGUUGUAAACUGCUUUUAUAAGGGAAUAAAGUGAGCCUCGUGAGGCUUUUUGCAUGUACCUUAUGAAUAGGACCGGCUAAUUCCGUGCCAGCAGCCG